RNAcentral lists this ribosomal RNA (254 nucleotides) under uncultured bacterium. RNAcentral describes it as "partial 16S ribosomal RNA". It matches the Rfam family "Bacterial small subunit ribosomal RNA", at positions 524 to 776 of the family's 1533-position model. The record is from RNAcentral.
UACGUAGGGUGCGAGCGUUGUCCGGAAUUAUUGGGCGUAAAGAGCUCGUAGGCGGUGUGUCGCGUCGGCCGUGAAAACCUGCAGCUUAACUGUGGGCUUGCGGUCGAUACGGGCAUCACUGGAGUUCGGCAGGGGAGACUGGAAUUCCUGGUGUAGCGGUGAAAUGCGCAGAUAUCUGGAGGAACACCGGUGGCGAAGGCGGAUCUCUGGGCCAUUACUGACGCUGAGGAGCGAAAGCGUGGGGAGCGAACAGG